GAUGAACGCUGGCGGCAUGCCUAAUACAUGCAAGUCGAGCGAACAGACGAGGAGCUUUCUCCUCUGACGUUAGCGGCGGACGGGUGAGUAACACGUGGAUAACCUACCUAUAAGACUGGGAUAACUUCGGGAAACCGGAGCUAAUACCGGAUAAUAUAUUGAACCGCAUGGUUCCAUAGUGAGAUACGGUUUUUCUGUCACUUAUAGAUGGAUCCGCGCCGCAUUAACUAGUUGGUCAGGUAACGGCUUACCCAGGCAACGAUGCGUAACCGACCUGAGAGGGUGAUCGGCCACACUGGAACUGAGACACGGCCCAGACUCCUACGGGAGGCAGCAGCAGGGAAUCUUCCGCAAUGGGCGAAAGCCUGACGGAGCAACGCGGCGUGAGGGAUGACGGUCUUCGGAUCGUAAAACUCUGUUAUUAGGGAAGAACAAAUGUGUAAGUAACUAUGAACGUCUUGACGGUACCUAAACAGAAAGCCACGGCUAACUACGUG
Molecule: ribosomal RNA, 497 nt
Filed under: uncultured bacterium
Lineage: Bacteria
Description: partial 16S ribosomal RNA
Rfam family: Bacterial small subunit ribosomal RNA
Source: RNAcentral